UGGGGAAUAUUGCACAAUGGGCGCAAGCCUGAUGCAGCCAUGCCGCGUGUAUGAAGAAGGCCUUCGGGUUGUAAAGUACUUUCAGCGGGGAGGAAGGUGUUGAGGCUAAUAACCUCAGCAAUUGACGUUACCCGCAGAAGAAGCACCGGCUAACUCCGUGCCAGCAGCCGCGGUAAUACGGAGGGUGCAAGCGUUCAUCGGAAUUACUGGGCGUAAAGCGCACGCAGGCGGUCUGUCAAGUCGGAUGUGAAAUCCCCGGGCUCAACCUGGGAACUGCAUUCGAAACUGGCAGGCUAGAGUCUUGUAGAGGGGGGUAGAAUUCCAGGUGUAGCGGUGAAAUGCGUAGAGAUCUGGAGGAAUACCGGUGGCGAAGGCGGCCCCCUGGACAAAGACUGACGCUCAGGUGCGAAAGCGUGGGGAGCAAACA
This 427-nucleotide ribosomal RNA is filed under the name uncultured bacterium. Its description in RNAcentral is "partial 16S ribosomal RNA". It matches the Rfam family "Bacterial small subunit ribosomal RNA", at positions 355 to 774 of the family's 1533-position model. The record is from RNAcentral.